UUUACUUGGAUAGGAUCAUCUGAACAAUGUGGUUUUUACAUGGCAAAGGUGAAGUGUGCGCUGAACUGAAUGGGUCAUCUACAUCAAUUGGUUGGAUUUUCCAGGAACCAAUAUGCAACUCAUAACACUAUGAUGCUUAUAACCAUCUUGUCUUGCAGUUGCUUACAAAACACUCUGCUUUUUCUUUCAUUCAAUAGACAAUAUCUAGCUCCCUUGUGUGAAAUUACAGUGUGGUUGUGGUAACUGUAGGUUGGUUUGGCUUUGAAGCAACUCUUUGAAGAUGGGGUGGUGAAGCGUCAUGAUUUGUUUAUCACCUCAAAACUAUGGUGUAAUGAUCUAGCACCGGAAGAUGUGCCUGUUGCAUUGGAAACAACCUUGCAAGAAUUGCAGCUUGACUAUGUUGAUCUCUACCUUGUACGUGCUUCAUACACUGGUUUGGCACUGUUUUGUAUAUCACUGUAAGAUACUGCUUUGUUUGCUUGCUUGUUGAGGAACUAUAAGAUUCUACUCAUUGGCAAAUGUGCAGUUUGUUGAAGCAGAGGAUUUUGUACAUGUGGAGCAAGGUACUUUGUAACGGCAACGGUGGCCGUAACAACCACCACUGUUACAGUUAUGAUACGGGUCUACGGCCACCAUUGUUACA
Long non-coding RNA from Magnolia sinica, 643 nucleotides. RefSeq lists it as uncharacterized. Lineage: Eukaryota; Viridiplantae; Streptophyta; Magnoliopsida; Magnoliales; Magnoliaceae. The transcript has 2 exons. The record is from RefSeq and is a predicted model, not a curated record.